This is a long non-coding RNA of Felis catus (domestic cat), 1275 nucleotides long. RefSeq lists it as uncharacterized. The transcript is spliced from 3 exons. Lineage: Eukaryota; Metazoa; Chordata; Mammalia; Carnivora; Felidae. The record is from RefSeq and is a predicted model, not a curated record.
AACCCUACCUGCCCUGCUCCCGAGGAGCCAUGACCUUCUGAGAUUCCGGCCAGACAACCUGGGGGGCCCACUCGGAGAGCUGGCAAGGGGGGCUGGGGGCUGAGUAUCCACAGGGCAGGACAGGGAAAGGGGAGGCUGCCGAGAUAGCACCCGAGCCUUGCAGCCAGAGGAAGGACUAGAUAACUCAACUGAGCAGCCCACCCCUGGGCAGCCGUGCUCAUACUCGCACUCACUCACCCCUCCCUUCCAGGCUCACCCACGGCUUCACGGGGCGUUUUCCAGGGGGCACCCCACGCCCAUUCCUUGUGGGUGAGCCGUACAGCCAACCGGAUAGGCUGAGCCGUUGGAAAGCGGUGUUUGAGAAGAGGCUGGCCACAGGGGCAGAGGCCAGCAGAGGAAGAGGCGUGGAGGAGCGGAGGUUGGAGGAGAGAGAACCCACCCGGGGAAACCCGAUCUCACGGGAGACGGGCCACAGGGAGAGGCAGCGAGAGGUUCCACGUCACCAGGGAACAGCUGGUGGGAGCCUAGUCUUCCAGAACCCUACAGAAAUAUUUCAAAUAUUCCUGACCUCUCUCUGAGAAGGCACUUGACAUAGCCCCUCCCCCCAACCUCCUUUCUCCCUUCCCCAAAUAACCCAGAUAUUUUCACCGGUCUUCCCCUCAGAGCUACUGCAAACAUAGAAAGGGAUUGCAAGUCCCUGGCCCCAGGCUGGUAUGUCUGAGCUAAAACUGCCAGGCCUCUUAGCCACUGCCGGGAGCUCCUCACAGCAGCCCUUUGUUCAAGGCCAUUUCUCCCCCAACUCCAGCCCCAACCAGCCUCCCCUCACCCAGCAAUCUCUUUGCUUUCACACUCUCCCACCAAGGGGGAGAAUUUUCUUAUAGAGGCCGCCACUUUUUUCUCUCCUAGCCUGUAUCAAAAUGAGACUGUUGCUUCAAACCCCGCAGGGGAGCCCCAUGACAAUGUGACUUGGGCACACCUGUGAACCGCCCCUCCCCCAACCCUGGCUCCUGUUGUAGAGGGUCCUAGGGCUGUCACUGGGCCUUGGGCGGUGCACUCAGGCCUCAGGAGCCUCGAGAGUUCUGCCGCUCCCUUCCCCCUCAACUGAAGGCUUCCUUCCCAAAGGCUCCUUAUGUCAUUCUGUGGAGUUCGCCCCAUCUCCAAGCCCCCAGUCUCCCCGGCCCCCAAUCUCGUGAUCUGUGCCCAUACCCGGUCUCCCUCUCCCACAUUACACGCGCUCUCCCUGAUACCCUGGGGACCCUAAAGGAUACUUCCAUU